GCCCAACUAUUUUAAUUAAUAUCUCAAAAUUUUACGUGGUUGUUUGAAAAAUGAACUAUACACAUUUUUGUUCACUUUUAUGUGUUCUACUUAUAUUUUUCUUUUCGUACGUCUUACACGAGACAUCCUAUAUAACGUAAUGCUUAUGAGAUAAAAAUAAUAAAGCAAAUGAAAAAUAUCCUAACAAAUAUAUCAAACUUCUUAACAAAACAUUAAGAACGAUCAUGAAAGUAUAUCCUGUAUCUAUCAUGUUUUUGUUGGAUAAUAAUUUUUAUAAUACUUAAAAUAAUUUAACAUAUAAAUGUUUUUAAAUAUUGAUAGAUUUUAAUUAAAUAUUAAUAUUAUACUAAAAUAAAUAAUUAAGAUUAAUAAUAAUAAUUUGCCGUGUAUAUGUCCGGAUAUAGGGACAUGUCUGGCUAUUGGUACCUUUACUUUUUGGCACUUUGAAAAACUAUGUGCAAAGUUUUAACAUUUUUUCUUCUGAUGUUUUGAAGGCGAUUCGUCCGAUUUAUGAUGAUCUUUUAAAAGAAGAAUUGCUGAAACGUUGUCUUGAUAACAUAACAAUAAACGAUAACAUACAAAGCAUGCAGAAGAUUUUCCCGUGCCUAACAAAAAUAAAAUUUCAGGAAGGGCUAAAGAUGUAUGCGCAUACAUGGUUGUAUGCUGUAAAAAAUAAAUAAACAAAAAUGUAUAAAUGUAUAUAUAGUAAAAAGUUCAUACUUUAAGCCCUAAAAAACCUGAACUAUCUUUUUUAGUUAAAUAGAAAAUAUUUUAAGCCCUAAAAAACCUGAUGCUAUCUUUUUUAGUUAAAUAGAAAAAAAUUAAUAAAAUAUGCUAAUUUUUGAGGUCGAGAUAUGUUUAUACCUUCUUAUGGUAAACAUAAAACUAGAUAAGUCAAUUAUAAACUUGCGAUAAUAAUUUAAUAAUUUAUAUAAUACAUUGCAGAGAAUUCUUCUUCGCGAGAAUUUGUUAAAACUACACUCUCUUACUUAUAUUUCAUUGCUCUUCUCUUCAAACAUUAUUCGCAUUGUUGUGAAGUACGAGAAUAUAGUUGAUAGAUACUGGAACAUUAAUGAUAUCAAAAAUAUGUUUUUUUCACAGGAGAUAAUUACAUAUACGCGUGCAUAUACGUACACAUACACAUGCAUUUAUUUUAGGUGUAUAAAAUGUGCAUAUUUGCAAGUCAUUGAGUAACUGAGUAAUCAUGGCAAUAAUUAAAGUUAUUGUCUCACCGACGCGUAGUAACGUAAGGAUAACGAAGGCAAACCGCAUGGCUGCUUGUGCCACAUCAUUGGUCUAGAGAACAUACCAUGGAAUAAUGACAUUAUUUUAUGAACAUAAUAAUAUCUUUCUUUACGAAUAAUGGACUUACUACAUGGAUUAAAUGUUCGGCAGGCCACGCAUA
Molecule: long non-coding RNA, 1405 nt
Organism: Odontomachus brunneus
Lineage: Eukaryota; Metazoa; Arthropoda; Insecta; Hymenoptera; Formicidae
Exons: 3
Source: RefSeq, a predicted model, not a curated record